Cyprinus carpio (common carp) is the source of this 392-nucleotide long non-coding RNA. RefSeq lists it as uncharacterized. Lineage: Eukaryota; Metazoa; Chordata; Actinopteri; Cypriniformes; Cyprinidae. The record is from RefSeq and is a predicted model, not a curated record. The transcript is spliced from 3 exons.
UUUAUUGACGAGGUCAGCGUCUCACCUGAGAGCGGUGGAACUACAAAACGCCAUUGUUUCCAGUCGAAGAGGGACAGGAAGUCCUACUACAACUAGAUGCAAUGUGUGUGUUGUGCGUGGAUGGAUAACGACACAUCUGAGCAGCAACCCAGAGGCUUAGAUACCAGCUUCCGACAACAUUUUCAUAUUGCAUCGCAUUAAGCGGAAAGGCACGAAUCCUCCUCGCGGAUCCACUGAUGACAUUUAAGCAGGUCGGUGGUGCUAAGUGAAGGGCCGUGUAAAAGAGGGUUGUAGAGACGAACCUGCUGUGCAGUGUGUGUGUGUGUGUGUGAGUGAGUGUGCGCGCGUGUGUGUGUGUGUGUGUGGGUGAAAGGGGCUCUCAGUCAUGGGUG